RNAcentral lists this ribosomal RNA (410 nucleotides) under uncultured microorganism. Its description in RNAcentral is "bacterial SSU rRNA". It matches the Rfam family "Bacterial small subunit ribosomal RNA", at positions 509 to 917 of the family's 1533-position model. The record is from RNAcentral.
CAGCCGCCGCGGUAAUACGUAGGGGGCGAGCGUUGUCCGGAAUUAUUGGGCGUAAAGCGCGCGCAGGCGGUCCUUUAAGUCUGAUGUGAAAGCCCACGGCUCAACCGUGGAGGGUCAUUGGAAACUGGGGGACUUGAGUGCAGGAGAGGAGAGCGGAAUUCCACGUGUAGCGGUGAAAUGCGUAGAGAUGUGGAGGAACACCAGUGGCGAAGGCGGCUCUCUGGCCUGUAACUGACGCUGAGGCGCGAAAGCGUGGGGAGCAAACAGGAUUAGAUACCCUGGUAGUCCACGCCGUAAACGAUGAGUGCUAAGUGUUAGAGGGGUCACACCCUUUAGUGCUGUAGCUAACGCGAUAAGCACUCCGCCUGGGGAGUACGGCCGCAAGGCUGAAAGUUAAAGGAAUUGGCGGG